This 396-nucleotide ribosomal RNA is filed under the name uncultured bacterium. Its description in RNAcentral is "bacterial SSU rRNA". It matches the Rfam family "Bacterial small subunit ribosomal RNA", at positions 335 to 748 of the family's 1533-position model. The record is from RNAcentral.
ACUCCUACGGGAGGCAGCAGUGGGAAUAUUGCACAAUGGGGAAGCCAUCGAUGCAGCGACGCAGCGUGCGGGAUGACGGCCUUCGGUUGUAACCGCUUUCAGCAGGGAAGAAGCGCAAGUGACGGUACCUGCAGAAGAAGUACCGGCUAACUACGUGCCAGCAGCCGCGGUAAUACGUAGGGUACGAGCGUUGUCCGGAAUUAUUGGGCGUAAAGAGCUCGUAGGUGGUUGGUCACGUCUGCUGUGGAAACGCAACGCUUAACGUUGCGCGUGCAGUGGGUACGGGCUGACUAGAGUGCAGUAGGGAGUCUGGAAUUCCUGGUGUAGCGGUGAAAUGCGCAGAUAUCAGGAGGAACACCGGUGGCGAAGGCGGGACUCUGGGCUGUAACUACACUG